RNAcentral lists this long non-coding RNA (289 nucleotides) under Elaeis guineensis (African oil palm). RNAcentral's name for it is "long non-coding RNA (EGUI_LNC016695)". The record is from RNAcentral. Lineage: Eukaryota; Viridiplantae; Streptophyta; Magnoliopsida; Arecales; Arecaceae.
GGCCAAAAGAAAUAAGGGGCAAUAAUCAGAUGCAAAUCUCACAAGAUGGUGUAUAUCAGAAGUGGAGAACAUAUCAAACUAAUUUGCAGACACAAUCCUCGAUCAAUUCGUUCCCAUACCCUCGCCAAUCCCUCUUGAUUGUUACACCAAGUGAACUUCAGACUAACAAAAUCAAGAUCAAUUAAAUUGUUAGAUGAGGGGAAGUUUCGAAAUUCCUUGAUGUCCCAGUCAAGAGAGAAAGGCUUGCCUCCGAGUUUAUCAUUGGAAUGCAUAAUACAAUUGAAAUCUC